Molecule: long non-coding RNA, 1088 nt
Organism: Pelmatolapia mariae (spotted tilapia)
Lineage: Eukaryota; Metazoa; Chordata; Actinopteri; Cichliformes; Cichlidae
Exons: 3
Source: RefSeq, a predicted model, not a curated record
ACAGACUGUUCAUGUUGUUCCUCAUGUUUCCAGCUUUGGAUCUCCGGGACUGUGGAACAUUUGCUUCAGGGUUUCUCCUGCACGCCUGGAUUUUUAUCCCCUCCCUGCUUCAAAGAAUCAUUUUUGUGCUCGGGUUUUUUUUUUGUUUUGUUUUUAAAUUCCUUAUUUAGCUACUCAAACAAAAACAGAUGUUCCGGUGACAGAAGGCGACACUGAUCGUGUUUUCUCUGUAAAACGAGAAGCAGCGGGCAGAAACCAACUCAAACCUGUUGCAGCUCACCUGUUGACUUCCACCUGAUCUUUCCGUGUCUGUAUGCGUGACUAAUGCAUAUGCCGACCUUUAUAAAGAGCCCAUUGACGGGCUCUCAGUUGACUGUGUACUACAAGAGAUUACACACAAGGACAUGUGUCCCGGGGGCCGCAGCUCCCACACAUGGCAGCCUUAUCUCCCUGAAUGCCGCCUGGAGCCGUGUGAUAAGGAGCGCCCUGGGAUCCUCCAUUAUGAGCUGUGGUGGCGAUGGUGGCGCUCUGAGCAGUCCCCCUUUAAGCACAUUCAUGGUUGAGUGGAAACAUUGUGCAGCUGUGAUUCCUGCAGCGUUCCUCUGCUCUCUGAGAGCCACCGUCAGAGUGGAAAUACUCUCACUGCUAACUGGUGUGUGUGCUACAGCAGCUUAAUGACAGCCUCUGAAAUCAUUAACCUGACUGUGAAGAGGAGGAGGAGGAGGUGUUAAAGCAGGUGCUCCUCCAGCAGGAGCACCUAUGAUGGAGGAGGUGAUCUGUUAUCAGCCCGGGCCACUGAUCUCGCUCACUGAUAACCUCUUUAAUGGAGCUUCAGCUCCUGUAGAAGCUCCUCUGCAUGGACAGGUGUCCUCACCUGCAAACAAACUGGAAUGGGUUUUUUUCUUCUCAUACUCCUACCUUGCCACAUUUCACAGUACUUCUGAUGAGCCCUAAAAAGCACAGAUGUAAACACUGCAGCGCCACCUGUUGGUUACCGAAUAAGCGAAGGGUGGAGCCAAGCGAGGAAAAACAGGGAUAUCUGAUUGAUUGACAUAAGUUGUCCUGAAGUGGAAAGAAGAAAAGUUCAU